GGUUAUGUGUGUGCCCGUGUGUGUUUUUGGCUGUCAGCAUGUGAGAGGGCCUGAGUACAUCAGGGCAUGUAUCCAUCUGUGCGUGCGCGUGUGUGUGAACACGUGUGCGUCAUUGCAUUAGAAGUCCGUGAGUGUUUUCUGUGUGUUUGUGUUGCUCUUGAGCACAGUCAUCCCGCAGAGGUGACUGUGAAACGAUGGGAACAGGCAUAACCGAUGGAGGAAGAGGGGUUAACGGGCAGGCAGCAGGAUAUCCCAUCACAUUCGGAGUGUUGCUGCUGCGCCCACUUCCCUUAACUCUUCCCAGCAGCUGGAUCCAGGAAGAGGUCAAGAGGGGUCAGGCAAGCUCCUCCCUCUGUCAUUAUCCUUCCAUCACCUGCCGUCCUCUCUGUGCUGACAACAAAACUUUCUCUUCUGUCUCUUUUCUCCUGACGUAUGCUUCUGGUCUUUAUGGCCCUCACCCUCUUAUUCUCUCUGUGUGACACUGCCUUUAUGAUUUUCGCAUCAUUUCUCCCCUCCAUCUGGUCUCCAGUUUUCCCCUUUCCUAGCCUUUUAUUUGUGUCUUUUUCCUCUUUUGAUAGCCCGGCAUCACCCUUAAUUUCCUGAUGUCAUUUUCUCUUGUGGAUACGGAGAAUUUAUGGGGUCCCUCUUGCUGUGAGAUUUUUUUUGUUUUUUUUUUUAUAUUCUUGCAGUUUAUCUCUAGAUCGUGACUGAGAUACUAUACACCCAGUACUGCUUUCACAGACAGACUGGAAAUUGAACAAAAUUCUUUCAGAGGAGAAUCUCUAGUGAGGAAGAGAGGCGAGGACUAAGUGUGUGCUGAGAGCCUAACACAGCCAAAUGUGUGUCAAAAAUCAAGCUGAAAUCUGGGGCAAGUGGUAAUGCAAUAUAGAUGUUAUGUCAUCAUAAAUAUUUGAAGAUACACAACAAUGUACUGUAAUAGAAUAAUGUAUGGGCAUCGACUGGAAUGAGCAACAGAGGUGAUAAUUUGACGUCUUUAUAUUCUCU
Long non-coding RNA from Astatotilapia calliptera (eastern happy), 1005 nucleotides. The record is from Ensembl. Lineage: Eukaryota; Metazoa; Chordata; Actinopteri; Cichliformes; Cichlidae.